CCGAGUUUACAACUCCCAAACCCCUGUGAACAUACCUAUCGUUGCUUCGGUGGGAUCGCCCCGGCGCCCCCGGGCCCGGACUCAGGCGCCCGCCGGAGGACCCAAACUCUUGUUUUAUGGAUGUAUCUUCUGAGUAAACAAGCAAAUAAAAUCA
Molecule: unclassified non-coding RNA, 154 nt
Filed under: uncultured Acremonium
Lineage: Eukaryota; Fungi; Ascomycota
Description: sequence contains ITS1
Source: RNAcentral